Arachis duranensis is the source of this 107-nucleotide small nucleolar RNA. The record is from RefSeq and is a predicted model, not a curated record. Lineage: Eukaryota; Viridiplantae; Streptophyta; Magnoliopsida; Fabales; Fabaceae.
AAUAUAUGGUGGGGGCAUGCGUCUAGGAGAUUCCUGAAGCGUUCCCAAUACUCAUAAAGAGUCUCUGAUUCACCUUGAAUAAUACAGGAAAUUUCUUUCCUCAUUCU